GGGUUCUUAGCUCAGUUGGUAGAGCAGCGGACUCUUAAUCCGUCGGUCGAGAGUUCGAAUCUCUCAGAACCCACCA
This 76-nucleotide transfer RNA is filed under the name Burkholderiaceae bacterium. RNAcentral describes it as "tRNA-Lys". It matches the Rfam family "tRNA". Rfam says of the family: Transfer RNA (tRNA) molecules are approximately 80 nucleotides in length. Lineage: Bacteria; Pseudomonadati; Pseudomonadota; Betaproteobacteria; Burkholderiales; Burkholderiaceae. The record is from RNAcentral.